UACGUAGGGGGCGAGCGUUGUCCGGAAUCAUUGGGCGUAAAGAGCGUGUAGGCGGCCAGAUAAGUCCGCUGUGAAAUCUCGAGGCUCAACUUCGAGCUGUCGGCGGAAACCAUCUGGCUAGAGUCCGGAAGAGGAGAAUGGAAUUCCCGGUGUAGCGGUGAAAUGCGCAGAUAUCGGGGAAGAACACCCGUGGCGAAGGCGGUUCUCUGGGACGGUACUGACGCUGAGACGCGAAAGCGUGGGGAGCGAACAGG
RNAcentral lists this ribosomal RNA (254 nucleotides) under uncultured bacterium. RNAcentral's name for it is "partial 16S ribosomal RNA". It matches the Rfam family "Bacterial small subunit ribosomal RNA", at positions 524 to 776 of the family's 1533-position model. The record is from RNAcentral.